GGUUAAGCGACUAAGCGUACACGGUGGAUGCCCUGGCAGUCAGAGGCGAUGAAGGGCGUGCUAAUCUGCGAUAAGCGCCGGUAAGGUGAUAUGAACCGUUAUAACCGGCGAUACCCGAAUGGGGAAACCCAGUGUGAUUCGUCACACUAUCAUUAACUGAAUCCAUAGGUUAAUGAGGCGAACCGGGGGAACUGAAACAUCUAAGUACCCCGAGGAAAAGAAAUCAACCGAGAUUCCCCCAGUAGCGGCGAGCGAACGGGGAGGAGCCCAGAGCCUGAAUCAGCAUGUGUGUUAGUGGAAGCGUCUGGAAAGGCGCGCGAUACAGGGUGACAGCCCCGUACACAAAAGCGCAUGUGCUGUGAGCUCGAUGAGUAGGGCGGGACACGUGGUAUCCUGUCUGAAUAUGGGGGGACCAUCCUCCAAGGCUAAAUACUCCUGACUGACCGAUAGUGAACCAGUACCGUGAGGGAAAGGCGAAAAGAACCCCGGCGAGGGGAGUGAAAAAGAACCUGAAACCGUGUACGUACAAGCAGUGGGAGCCCCACCACUAAGCCAGUGGUGAACUCCACAUACGCAUCCUUUGCUGAGGAUACGGUUAACGGAGCGAAAGCGACGUUCAACCGCAAAAGAAGCAGAGGGGGCUUAGUGGUGGGGUGACUGCGUACCUUUUGUAUAAUGGGUCAGCGACUUAUAUUCUGUAGCAAGGUUAACCGUAUAGGGGAGCCGUAGGGAAACCGAGUCUUAACCGGGCGUUAAGUUGCAGGGUAUAGACCCGAAACCCGGUGAUCUAGCCAUGGGCAGGUUGAAGGUUGGGUAACACUAACUGGAGGACCGAACCGACUAAUGUUGAAAAAUUAGCGGAUGACCUGUGGCUGGGGGUGAAAGGCCAAUCAAACCGGGAGAUAGCUGGUUCUCCCCGAAAGCUAUUUAGGUAGCGCCUCGUGAAUUCAUCUCCGGGGGUAGAGCACUGUUUCGGCUAGGGGGCCAUCCCGGCUUACCAACCCGAUGCAAACUGCGAAUACCGGAGAAUGUUAUCACGGGAGACACACGGCGGGUGCUAACGUCCGUCGUGAAGAGGGAAACAACCCAGACCGCCAGCUAAGGUCCCAAAGUCAUGGUUAAGUGGGAAACGAUGUGGGAAGGCCCAGACAGCCAGGAUGUUGGCUUAGAAGCAGCCAUCAUUUAAAGAAAGCGUAAUAGCUCACUGGUCGAGUCGGCCUGCGCGGAAGAUGUAACGGGGCUAAACCAUGCACCGAAGCUGCGGCAGCGAACGUAUCACUUAAAGCGAUUCAGCGGGUUACGAUUGACGGAGCGAAGCGACGUCAAAGCGUAUACAAAGUCGAGUCGGUUUAAGGAUACGUUCGUUGGGUAGGGGAGCGUUCUGUAAGCCUGUGAAGGUGGCCUGUGAGGGUUGCUGGAGGUAUCAGAAGUGCGAAUGCUGACAUAAGUAACGAUAAAGCGGGUGAAAAGCCCGCUCGCCGGAAGACCAAGGGUUCCUGUCCAACGUUAAUCGGGGCAGGGUGAGUCGACCCCUAAGGCGAGGCCGAAAGGCGUAGUCGAUGGGAAACGGGUUAAUAUUCCCGUACUUGGUGUUACUGCGAAGGGGGGACGGAGAAGGCUAUGUUGGCCGGGCGACGGUUGUCCCGGUUUAAGCGUGUAGGCUGGUUUUCCAGGCAAAUCCGGAAAAUCAAGGCUGAGGCGUGAUGACGAGGCACUACGGUGCUGAAGCAACAAAUGCCCUGCUUCCAGGAAAAGCCUCUAAGCAUCAGGUAACAUCAAAUCGUACCCCAAACCGACACAGGUGGUCAGGUAGAGAAUACCAAGGCGCUUGAGAGAACUCGGGUGAAGGAACUAGGCAAAAUGGUGCCGUAACUUCGGGAGAAGGCACGCUGACACGUAGGUGAAGUGAUUUACUCAUGGAGCUGAAGUCAGUCGAAGAUACCAGCUGGCUGCAACUGUUUAUUAAAAACACAGCACUGUGCAAACACGAAAGUGGACGUAUACGGUGUGACGCCUGCCCGGUGCCGGAAGGUUAAUUGAUGGGGUCAGCGCAAGCGAAGCUCCUGAUCGAAGCCCCGGUAAACGGCGGCCGUAACUAUAACGGUCCUAAGGUAGCGAAAUUCCUUGUCGGGUAAGUUCCGACCUGCACGAAUGGCGUAAUGAUGGCCAGGCUGUCUCCACCCGAGACUCAGUGAAAUUGAACUCGCUGUGAAGAUGCAGUGUACCCGCGGCAAGACGGAAAGACCCCGUGAACCUUUACUAUAGCUUGACACUGAACAUUGAGCCUUGAUGUGUAGGAUAGGUGGGAGGCUUUGAAGUGUGGACGCCAGUCUGCAUGGAGCCGACCUUGAAAUACCACCCUUUAAUGUUUGAUGUUCUAACGUGGACCCGUGAUCCGGGUUGCGGACAGUGUCUGGUGGGUAGUUUGACUGGGGCGGUCUCCUCCUAAAGAGUAACGGAGGAGCACGAAGGUUGGCUAAUCCUGGUCGGACAUCAGGAGGUUAGUGCAAUGGCAUAAGCCAGCUUGACUGCGAGCGUGACGGCGCGAGCAGGUGCGAAAGCAGGUCAUAGUGAUCCGGUGGUUCUGAAUGGAAGGGCCAUCGCUCAACGGAUAAAAGGUACUCCGGGGAUAACAGGCUGAUACCGCCCAAGAGUUCAUAUCGACGGCGGUGUUUGGCACCUCGAUGUCGGCUCAUCACAUCCUGGGGCUGAAGUAGGUCCCAAGGGUAUGGCUGUUCGCCAUUUAAAGUGGUACGCGAGCUGGGUUUAGAACGUCGUGAGACAGUUCGGUCCCUAUCUGCCGUGGGCGCUGGAGAACUGAGGGGGGCUGCUCCUAGUACGAGAGGACCGGAGUGGACGCAUCACUGGUGUUCGGGUUGUCAUGCCAAUGGCACUGCCCGGUAGCUAAAUGCGGAAGAGAUAAGUGCUGAAAGCAUCUAAGCACGAAACUUGCCCCGAGAUGAGUUCUCCCUGAGACUUAGAGUCUCCUGAAGGAACGUUGAAGACGACGACGUUGAUAGGCCGGGUGUGUAAGCGCAGCGAUGCGUUGAGCUAACCGGUACUAAUGAACCGUGAGGCUUAACCUU
Molecule: ribosomal RNA, 3086 nt
Filed under: Salmonella enterica subsp. enterica serovar Anatum
Lineage: Bacteria; Pseudomonadati; Pseudomonadota; Gammaproteobacteria; Enterobacterales; Enterobacteriaceae
Description: 23S ribosomal RNA
Rfam family: Bacterial large subunit ribosomal RNA
Source: RNAcentral